CUCCAUGAAUCCAUGGGACCUGCAUCUUGUGGCAGAUUCCCUUCCUAGCCAUGGAAAAUAAAUGCCUUUGUUCCUACUUAAGCUGCUGCCAUGCCUGGUUUGCAGACUAUCUGGAACUGAAUAACAC
Molecule: small nucleolar RNA, 127 nt
Organism: Pelobates fuscus (common spadefoot toad)
Lineage: Eukaryota; Metazoa; Chordata; Amphibia; Anura; Pelobatidae
Product: small nucleolar RNA SNORA24
Exons: 1
Source: RefSeq, a predicted model, not a curated record